GCCCGUGCGGUCAAUAACCAUUAGCCCAUCAUAAAGAAAGAACACUCAAAUAUUAAGAAAUUUACGAAACAUGUCACUGACUAAUAUAAACCAUUUCUCCCAAAAUCAAAGCGAUCCCAAAAUCUAAACCGUCUAAACUAAAUUAACAUUUAGGGCUCUGGUGAAGCUAGGCGACGAAGCAAGGGCACGAGCGCCACCUCAGAGGUGAAGCAAGCGCUCAAACCCGGCGGCGAAGCAAGCUCGUGACUCCGGCGGUGAAGCAAGCGCACGAUCCAGGAGACGAACCAAGUGCGCGACCCUGAGGUGAAGCAAGGGCGUGACCCAGUGGCGAAGCAAGGGUGCGACCCGGCUGAGAAGCAAGGACUCCGGCGGCAAAGCAAGAGCACGAUCCCGGCGGCGAACCAAGUGAGCGACCCUGAACUGUGCUGACAAUACAGGAGCUAAGAACCUGUACAUCAUCCAAGUCAAGGGAAUCAAGGGUCG
RNAcentral lists this long non-coding RNA (483 nucleotides) under Rosa chinensis. RNAcentral describes it as "sRNA RchiOBHm_Chr4g0395101". Lineage: Eukaryota; Viridiplantae; Streptophyta; Magnoliopsida; Rosales; Rosaceae. The record is from RNAcentral.